This 301-nucleotide ribosomal RNA is filed under the name uncultured bacterium. RNAcentral describes it as "partial 16S ribosomal RNA". It matches the Rfam family "Bacterial small subunit ribosomal RNA", at positions 509 to 807 of the family's 1533-position model. The record is from RNAcentral.
CAGUAGCCACGGGAAUACGAAGGGUGCAAGCGUUACUCGGAAUUACUGGGCGUAAAGCGUGCGUAGGUGGUGGUUUAAGUCCGUUGUGAAAGCCCUGGGCUCAACCUGGGAAUUGCAGUGGAUACUGGAUCACUAGAGUGUGGUAGAGGAUAGUGGAACUUCCGGUGUAGCAGUGAAACGCGUAGAGAUCGGAAGGAACAUCUGUGGCGAAGGCGACUAUCUGGGCCAACACUGACACUGAGGCACGAAAGCGUGGGGAGCAAACAGGAUUAGAUACCCCGGUAGUCCCUGUCUCUUAUAC